GCCGGGCAUGGUGGCAUAUGCCUGUAGUCCCAGCUACUCUGGAGGCUGAGGCAGAAGAAUCGCUUGAACCCAGGAGGCGGAGGUUGCAGUGAGCUGAGAUCGCUCCACUGCACUCCAGCCUGGGUGACAGAGUGAGACUCUGUCUCAA
RNAcentral lists this non-coding RNA (148 nucleotides) under Gorilla gorilla gorilla (western lowland gorilla). Lineage: Eukaryota; Metazoa; Chordata; Mammalia; Primates; Hominidae. The record is from Rfam by way of RNAcentral.